AUUGAACGCUGGCGGCAGGCCUAACACAUGCAAGUCGAGCGAGCGGCGGACGGGUGAGUAAUGUAUGGGGACUGCCCGAUAGAGGGGGAUAACUACUGGAAACGGUGGCUAAUACCGCAUAUUAUCGGAUAACCCAUAUGGGAUUAGUUAGUAGGUGGGGUAAAGGCUCACCUAGGCGACGAUCUCUAGCUGGUCGGAGAGGAUGAGCAGCCACACUAGGACUGAAACGCGGCCCAGACUCCUACGGAGGCGUCAGUGGGGAAUAUUUCACAAUGGGCGCAAGCCUGAUGCAGCCAUGCCGCGUGUAUGAAGAAAGCCUUAGGGUUGUAACGUACUUUCAGCGGGGAGUCGUUACCCGCAGAAGAAGCACCGGCUAACUCCGUGCCAGCAGCCGCGGUAAUAC
This 403-nucleotide ribosomal RNA is filed under the name uncultured bacterium. RNAcentral's name for it is "partial 16S ribosomal RNA". It matches the Rfam family "Bacterial small subunit ribosomal RNA", at positions 30 to 526 of the family's 1533-position model. The record is from RNAcentral.